RNAcentral lists this transfer RNA (72 nucleotides) under Pseudocuneopsis sichuanensis. RNAcentral describes it as "tRNA-Glu". Lineage: Eukaryota; Metazoa; Mollusca; Bivalvia; Unionida; Unionidae. RNAcentral also lists the same sequence under 1 other name. The record is from RNAcentral.
AGCUAAUUAAGUGUUAUAACUUAUCGCACAUUGACUUUUCACGUCAAAAGAGCAUUCAUCAUGCAUUUAGUU